Molecule: ribosomal RNA, 2900 nt
Filed under: Klebsiella pneumoniae
Lineage: Bacteria; Pseudomonadati; Pseudomonadota; Gammaproteobacteria; Enterobacterales; Enterobacteriaceae
Description: bacterial LSU rRNA
Rfam family: Bacterial large subunit ribosomal RNA
Source: RNAcentral
UUAAGCGACUAAGCGUACACGGUGGAUGCCCUGGCAGUCAGAGGCGAUGAAGGACGUGCUAAUCUGCGAAAAGCGUCGGUAAGGUGAUAUGAACCGUUACAGCCGGCGAUGUCCGAAUGGGGAAACCCAGUGCAAUUCGUUGCACUAUCGUUAACUGAAUACAUAGGUUAACGAGGCGAACCGGGGGAACUGAAACAUCUAAGUACCCCGAGGAAAAGAAAUCAACCGAGAUUCCCCCAGUAGCGGCGAGCGAACGGGGAGCAGCCCAGAGUCUGAAUCAGCUUGUGUGUUAGUGGAACGGUCUGGAAAGUCCGACGGUACAGGGUGAUAGUCCCGUACACCAAAAUGCACAGGCUGUGAACUCGAAGAGUAGGGCGGGACACGUGGUAUCCUGUCUGAAUAUGGGGGGACCAUCCUCCAAGGCUAAAUACUCCUGACUGACCGAUAGUGAACCAGUACCGUGAGGGAAAGGCGAAAAGAACCCCGGCGAGGGGAGUGAAAAAGAACCUGAAACCGUGUACGUACAAGCAGUGGGAGCACCUUCGGGUGUGACUGCGUACCUUUUGUAUAAUGGGUCAGCGACUUAUAUUCUGUAGCAAGGUUAACCGUAUAGGGGAGCCGCAGGGAAACCGAGUCUUAACUGGGCGUUAAGUUGCAGGGUAUAGACCCGAAACCCGGUGAUCUAGCCAUGGGCAGGUUGAAGGUUGGGUAACACUAACUGGAGGACCGAACCGACUAAUGUUGAAAAAUUAGCGGAUGACUUGUGGCUGGGGGUGAAAGGCCAAUCAAACCGGGAGAUAGCUGGUUCUCCCCGAAAGCUAUUUAGGUAGCGCCUCGUGAAUUCAUCUUCGGGGGUAGAGCACUGUUUCGGCUAGGGGGUCAUCCCGACUUACCAACCCGAUGCAAACUACGAAUACCGAAGAAUGUUAUCACGGGAGACACACGGCGGGUGCUAACGUCCGUCGUGAAGAGGGAAACAACCCAGACCGCCAGCUAAGGUCCCAAAGUCAUGGUUAAGUGGGAAACGAUGUGGGAAGGCACAGACAGCCAGGAUGUUGGCUUAGAAGCAGCCAUCAUUUAAAGAAAGCGUAAUAGCUCACUGGUCGAGUCGGCCUGCGCGGAAGAUGUAACGGGGCUAAACCAUGCACCGAAGCUGCGGCAGCGACACUAUGUGUUGUUGGGUAGGGGAGCGUUCUGUAAGCCUGCGAAGGUGACCUGUGAGGGUUGCUGGAGGUAUCAGAAGUGCGAAUGCUGACAUAAGUAACGAUAAAGCGGGUGAAAAGCCCGCUCGCCGGAAGACCAAGGGUUCCUGUCCAACGUUAAUCGGGGCAGGGUGAGUCGACCCCUAAGGCGAGGCCGAAAGGCGUAGUCGAUGGGAAACAGGUUAAUAUUCCUGUACUUGGUGUUACUGCGAAGGGGGGACGGAGAAGGCUAUGUUAGCCGGGCGACGGUUGUCCCGGUUUAAGCAUGUAGGCUGGUUAUCCAGGCAAAUCCGGAUAAUCAAGGCUGAGGUGUGAUGACGAGGCACUACGGUGCUGAAGUAACAAAUGCCCUGCUUCCAGGAAAAGCCUCUAAGCAUCAGGUAACAUNAAAUCGUACCCCAAACCGACACAGGUGGUCAGGUAGAGAAUACCAAGGCGCUUGAGAGAACUCGGGUGAAGGAACUAGGCAAAAUGGUGCCGUAACUUCGGGAGAAGGCACGCUGGUGUGUAGGUGAAGUCCCUGCGGAUGGAGCUGAGACCAGUCGAAGAUACCAGCUGGCUGCAACUGUUUAUUAAAAACACAGCACUGUGCAAACACGAAAGUGGACGUAUACGGUGUGACGCCUGCCCGGUGCCGGAAGGUUAAUUGAUGGGGUUAUCCGUAAGGAGAAGCUCUUGAUCGAAGCCCCGGUAAACGGCGGCCGUAACUAUAACGGUCCUAAGGUAGCGAAAUUCCUUGUCGGGUAAGUUCCGACCUGCACGAAUGGCGUAAUGAUGGCCAGGCUGUCUCCACCCGAGACUCAGUGAAAUUGAACUCGCUGUGAAGAUGCAGUGUACCCGCGGCAAGACGGAAAGACCCCGUGAACCUUUACUAUAGCUUGACACUGAACAUUGAGCCUUGAUGUGUAGGAUAGGUGGGAGGCUUUGAAGCGUGGACGCCAGUCUGCGUGGAGCCAACCUUGAAAUACCACCCUUUAAUGUUUGAUGUUCUAACGUUGGCCCCUUACCGGGGUUGCGGACAGUGUCUGGUGGGUAGUUUGACUGGGGCGGUCUCCUCCCAAAGCGUAACGGAGGAGCACGAAGGUUAGCUAAUCCUGGUCGGACAUCAGGAGGUUAGUGCAAUGGCAUAAGCUAGCUUGACUGCGAGCGUGACGGCGCGAGCAGGUGCGAAAGCAGGUCAUAGUGAUCCGGUGGUUCUGAAUGGAAGGGCCAUCGCUCAACGGAUAAAAGGUACUCCGGGGAUAACAGGCUGAUACCGCCCAAGAGUUCAUAUCGACGGCGGUGUUUGGCACCUCGAUGUCGGCUCAUCACAUCCUGGGGCUGAAGUAGGUCCCAAGGGUAUGGCUGUUCGCCAUUUAAAGUGGUACGCGAGCUGGGUUUAGAACGUCGUGAGACAGUUCGGUCCCUAUCUGCCGUGGGCGCUGGAGAAUUGAGGGGGGCUGCUCCUAGUACGAGAGGACCGGAGUGGACGCAUCACUGGUGUUCGGGUUGUCAUGCCAAUGGCACUGCCCGGUAGCUAAAUGCGGAAGAGAUAAGUGCUGAAAGCAUCUAAGCACGAAACUUGCCCCGAGAUGAGUUCUCCCUGAGACUUUAAGUCUCCUGAAGGAACGUUAAAGACGAUGACGUUGAUAGGCCGGGUGUGUAAGCGCAGCGAUGCGUUGAGCUAACCGGUACUAAUGAACCGUGAGGCUUAACCUU